RNAcentral lists this long non-coding RNA (20204 nucleotides) under Brassica napus (rape). RNAcentral's name for it is "long non-coding RNA (BNAP_LNC002102)". Lineage: Eukaryota; Viridiplantae; Streptophyta; Magnoliopsida; Brassicales; Brassicaceae. The record is from RNAcentral.
GAAUGCAAGUGUCUCCUCCCUCCAAAAAGUCUGAAACCGACAACAUCAAGCGCGUACCCUGCGAGACACCGCCCUUCACUGUCGGAGAACUCAAGAAAGCAAUCCCACCGCACUGUUUCAAACGCUCGAUCCCUCGCUCUUUCUCCUACCUCAUCUGGGACAUCAUCAUAGCCUCCUGCUUCUACUACGUCGCCACCACUUACUUCCCUCUCCUCCCUCACCCUCUCUCCUACUUCGCCUGGCCUCUCUACUGGGCCUGCCAGGGCUGCGUCCUAACCGGCGUCUGGGUCAUAGCCCACGAGUGCGGCCACCACGCCUUCAGCGACUACCAGUGGCUGGACGACACCGUCGGCCUCAUCUUCCACUCCUUCCUCCUCGUCCCUUACUUCUCCUGGAAGUACAGUCAUCGACGCCACCAUUCCAACACUGGCUCCCUCGAGAGAGACGAAGUGUUUGUCCCCAAGAAGAAGUCAGACAUCAAGUGGUACGGCAAGUACCUCAACAACCCUUUGGGACGCACCGUGAUGUUAACGGUUCAGUUCACUCUCGGCUGGCCUUUGUACUUAGCCUUCAACGUCUCGGGGAGACCUUACGACGGCGGCUUCGCUUGCCAUUUCCACCCCAACGCUCCCAUCUACAACGACCGUGAGCGUCUCCAGAUAUACAUCUCCGACGCUGGCAUCCUCGCCGUCUGCUACGGUCUCUACCGCUACGCUGCUGUCCAAGGAGUUGCCUCGAUGGUCUGCUUCUACGGAGUUCCUCUUCUGAUUGUCAACGGGUUCUUAGUUUUGAUCACUUACUUGCAGCACACGCAUCCUUCCCUGCCUCACUAUGACUCGUCUGAGUGGGAUUGGUUGAGGGGAGCUUUGGCCACCGUUGACAGAGACUACGGAAUCUUGAACAAGGUCUUCCACAAUAUCACGGACACGCACGUGGCGCAUCACCUGUUCUCGACCAUGCCGCAUUAUCAUGCGAUGGAAGCUACGAAGGCGAUAAAGCCGAUACUGGGAGAGUAUUAUCAGUUCGAUGGGACGCCGGUGGUUAAGGCGAUGUGGAGGGAGGCGAAGGAGUGUAUCUAUGUGGAACCGGACAGGCAAGGUGAGAAGAAAGGUGUGUUCUGGUACAACAAUAAGUUAUGAAGCAAAGAAGAAACUGAACCUUUCUCUUCUAUGAUUGUCUUUGUUUAAGAAGCUAUGUUUCUGUUUCAAUAAUCUUAAUUAUCCAUUUUGUUGUGUUUUCUGACAUUUUGGCUAAAAUUAUGUGAUGUUGGAAGUUAGUGUCUAAAAUGUCUUGUGUCUGUAUUGUUCUUCUUCUCAUCGCUGUUAUGUUUGGGAUCGUUGAAAUGUGACUUUCGGACUAGUGAACUCUUGUUCUCGAACUAUCUUAAUGUGGAUCCCUGAACAGUGUAAUGGCUUAGCUUCCUCUGAAACUACUAUUAUGUUCUAGUGAAUCUUGACAUAAAGCAACUUGUCGUUUCAAGACAUACCAAUGCUUUAAGAAAAAUGUUUUACUCACCUGAAGUGAACCAUAAAUCUAAUCUUCGUUACAGUUAAGUUAGUUUGAGUUAUUGCGUUGUUUGGUUGGCAGAUCACCUUUACUACUUAUGUGGUUCAGUCUCUUUGUAAAAAACUCUAUUCUUCUCUUUUAAUUUGUAGAAACCUGUCAACGUAAGCCAAAUUCAUUUCUUCAUCUUUAUUUGCUUUCAGAUUUGUGAGGGAACAAAAGAAAUUAAGACAAAUAAAUCUUUUUUUUUCUCAUUAAUGGCAGAAACAACCAAAGAGAGUGUGACAACAAGAAACAAUUGUAGUGAGGAAAAACCAAAGAAAAAAAUUGUCUGAAACCAACUCGUUGAACAUAUAAAAUAAUACGAAACAAUCUUUCAUCCAACGGCGAGCGUAAUCUUAGAAGCAUUUCCUGUGGACUAUCGAUGGCCCUGCCUCAUCAUACUCAGCUUUUGCUAUCCACAUCUGCAAUACCAACAUUGUGUAUCAUAGUCAGCUUACAAAACGAGUAACAAGCAGAAAAGAUGAUUUACCUGUUGGAAGGUACUAAGUGAUGCUAGAAUGGAUCCUCCAAUCCAAACACUAUACUUCCUCUCCGGUGGAGCAACCACCUUAAUCUUCAUGCUACUCGGAGCCAAAGCAGUGAUCUCCUUACUCAUCCUAUCAGCAAUCCCAGGGAACAUCGUGGUUCCACCACUAAGCACAAUGUUUCCAUACAAAUCUUUCCUAAUAUCGACAUCACACUUCAUGAUCGAAUUGUAAGUUGUCUCGUGAAUACCAGCAGCUUCCAUUCCGACCAAAGACGGCUGGAAAAGAACCUCAGGGCACCUGAACCUCUCCCCUCCAAUAGUGAUCACCUGUCCAUCAGGCAACUCGUAGCUCUUGUCGACCGAUGAGCUAGUGUUCGCCGUCUCCAUCUCUUGCUCGUAGUCAAGUGCUAUGUAAGCGAGCUUCUCUUUCACGUCUCUCACGAUCUCACGCUCUGCUGUGGUGGUGAAUGAGUAACCACGUUCGGUUAAGAUCUUCAUGAGGUAAUCAGUGAGGUCACGACCUGCGAGAUCAAGACGCAGAAUGGCGUGUGGGAGAGCAUAUCCUUCGUAGAUUGGAACAGUGUGACUCACACCAUCUCCAGAAUCCAACACAAUGCCUGAAACAAUGAUUCCACAUCACUAUGAAAGUGUUCUACCUUUAUAAACUGUCUAGAUAAUUAUAAUAUAAUAAUAAUUUAUAAUUUAUAAUAAUUAAUAUUUUUUAGUAUAAAAUCUUAUGAGAAUAAACAAUAUAAAUAUUAUUAUUUGUAAAUCAUGGUAUUUAUUAUAUUAUAUAUUUUUCCAACCACUAAACUCUUAUAAUACAUCAAUACUAUUAAAACUGAAGGGCCUUUUUUGAGGUAUCCUUGGAGUUUUAAAGUAUUUACCAUUCUAUGCCACUGAAUUAUUUUUAAACUAUGAUUUCAAUUAAAUUCUUUUAUUUUUUGUUUUGAAAUCGCAACAAACCAUCUCCUAAUUCCGUGUAUUUUGCAAUCCCACCGCACUGUUUCAAACGCUCGAUCCCUCGCUCUUUCUCCUACCUCAUCUGGGACAUCAUCAUAGCCUCCUGCUUCUACUACGUCGCCACCACUUACUUCCCUCUCCUCCCUCACCCUCUCUCCUACUUCGCCUGGCCUCUCUACUGGGCCUGCCAGGGCUGCGUCCUAACCGGCGUCUGGGUCAUAGCCCACGAGUGCGGCCACCACGCCUUCAGCGACUACCAGUGGCUGGACGACACCGUCGGCCUCAUCUUCCACUCCUUCCUCCUCGUCCCUUACUUCUCCUGGAAGUACAGUCAUCGACGCCACCAUUCCAACACUGGCUCCCUCGAGAGAGACGAAGUGUUUGUCCCCAAGAAGAAGUCAGACAUCAAGUGGUACGGCAAGUACCUCAACAACCCUUUGGGACGCACCGUGAUGUUAACGGUUCAGUUCACUCUCGGCUGGCCUUUGUACUUAGCCUUCAACGUCUCGGGGAGACCUUACGACGGCGGCUUCGCUUGCCAUUUCCACCCCAACGCUCCCAUCUACAACGACCGUGAGCGUCUCCAGAUAUACAUCUCCGACGCUGGCAUCCUCGCCGUCUGCUACGGUCUCUACCGCUACGCUGCUGUCCAAGGAGUUGCCUCGAUGGUCUGCUUUCGGACUGAAAAUGUAAAUCAUCGGUAAUGACUUGCAAAACGUUAGUCUAUCAAUGAGGUAAACUGAAAAUAAAUAAAAGAUCAUAAUAUUUGUUAGAUUAUAAUAAGACUGAAAGAUCUUUGAACAUAUUUUCCUGCUAUCACCGAUGGUCUUCUGUAAAUCCAGAUGUUCAAUUGGAAUCAUAUCGAUGACUUGAAUGAUGGUUUUUUGGUUCUCUUAAACAUCUUUCGGAUGAUCCACUUCGACUUAUGCAAGUUUGACUCUGUAUAAUAAACAACCGGAUUAGGUCAUGGAAAGGUAGAAACCUAAACCAACUUUCUCAUAAUAUAAAGUUUCACUACCCAUGCUUAUGAGAAUCUUGAUUUGCAAGUUGUCGUUGUUAUCCACCAUUUUUCUUUCUUUCAAAGAGCUCACUAUUUUUUUAUGAAUCAAGGUUGUUGACCGACCAGUGUAUGAUCGAAGAAAUUUUCAAAACCCAUCGUUUGACCCAUAAUUUUAGAGUUGAUGAGGUAAAUAAUCUGGACCAAUAAGGUCAGUAACUUAUUUGAGUAAUUCUAAUAUUUAUUGCAAAUCCAACUAUUUUGAUGACUAAUGAUUGGUUUUCAAAAUCACUGACGCCAAUUCCUUCUAUAUUAUUGUCUCUAAGUUUUGUUUCUUUUAUCUCUAUAAACAUUAAAAGUUUUUCUGAUGAUAGAUUCUCAUAUAAUACUUUUUUGUAAAUGUAAUAGUGUAUACACAAUUAAAAAUAUUGCAAUAGCAUACUUAACCAGCGAUAAUAAAAAAAUAUGAUUUUAUAUAAUAAACCAUCAAGUAUUUAAAUUAUUUUUGAAUUAAAUUGUCCAAAAUAAAAAUACACUCAAUCAGACCACAAGACUAAAAUCUAUAUGGUAUAAUUUACAAACAUAGAUAUUUGACACACAUGUUGAAAAAAAAAUAUUUGACACACACAUACAUGUAAUCAUAUACCAAUUAUUUGAAAAUACAUAAUAUUAUAAUUUACAAGUGUUUUGUUUAAUAAAAUAAAAUUUCACAGUUGGAAAAUAGGGGAAGAUUGUUUGGUAGUUACAACAAAUUUCCCUAAUUAUUUGAUCUAAAAUUAAAAAGGUGUGGUACUCCUGUAAAUACUUAGCAAAAUCAAGGGGGUGUAAAAAGAGUUGUUGUUGUAAUUGUAUUGAUGCUAUAAUUGUUGAUUUUUUCUUACGAUUUUGUGAAUAUUAUAAACUUAUUUUACAAGUUUUAUUUCCUAUAAAUAAAAUUACCCGGCUCUUAUGGGGUUGAUUGGUUGUUAAUGUAGCUUAAUAUAUAUUUUUUUGUUUUAAAAAAUUGGCUGUGUGAGUUUUUUUCCUUUGGCUUUAAUUUUUUUUGUUGUCGAUUUAUUUUCAAAACACUUAAUAAAAGCUGUAGAAAAUUUAAUUUUGAAAGCUAACAUAUUUUAGUUUCUAACUUUUUUUCUGUAGCUUUACUUUUUUAAAGUAAAACAUAAUUUCUUUGAAAAAAUUGCUUUAAAAAGAAAAAUGGAUGUCCAAAGUACCUAUAGCCACAAAACCAUAAUGGCUUUAAAUGAAAUUAAGUUUGAUUAUAUAGAUAUCUAUACUAUUUAAUAUCGGGUAUGUUACCAUUUUGGGCUAGAAAGAAAUAUUAUGUUUAAUAAUUAUUAUUGAAAAAGUGUAUAUACUGCAAAAUGUUUUUCACAGUAUAUGACGUUAAUUUGUUACGUACAUCCCUUGAAUAUAGCAAUUUAAAUAUGAUAUUUAAGCCAUAAAUGAUUUUAUUGAAUAAGUUUACAAAUAAUAAUAAAAAUUUAGUGAAAGACCAAAUAUCCCUUUAGACGAAAUUAAAUUGUACGAAAGUAAUAUUAUAAGGUAUCCUUAGGAAAUUCAAUCAUGUUUUAGUAAGAUAUAUAUUAUGUAGAUAAGAAACCUAAUGAGACUGUAGUCGUGGAUAUAUUAUCCAAUAUCUGAAAAACAAACUAAAACCGAACCAAAAAAACCGGAACUAAAACUGGAUAAAAAUAUACAAUAAUCUGAAUGGUUUCUACUUUUCUAAACCCAAAGAGCAAAAACCAAACUGAAAAUCAACAUAAUAGUAUUAAUUUAUAUAUAAUAUAAAUUUAAAAAAUAUCCAAAACCCCAAUUACAUGAAUUAUCUGGUUUUUUGUUUUUUAGGUUUAACUCAUGUUUUUUUGGUGAUUUUGGAAUUUUUGGCUUUAGACCCAAAUAAACACACCCAAAUAAACCCAAACUAUUUCUAAUUCAGUUCGCUUCGGGUUUUAUGAAAAAAUAAAAAACCCGACUCGAACUCAACAUCACCCGAAUCGAUCUGAUUCGAAAAGUUAUGAUUCAUAAAUGGGUCUUAACAUCCCAGCCCCAAUAACUUGAAAAUUGAAUUAACCUAAAUUUUGAAUGUCCAUCACUAUGAGAUGUUAAAAUAAAUUAUUCUCAGUUAAAUAUCUUAAACUCAAAUAUUAAAAUUUAGAUCAGAAAAAUUAGUAACUUUUAAAUCGAAAAUUUAACUAAAAUGUUAUCCCGCGCUUUCAAUAUCUAGUAUAUUGUUAUAAUUAGUAAACAACUAGGUCGAAUAAUCGAGCUAGGUGAUAGGCACUGAGUUACCGUCCGCUCACCGCGAAAAUGUCUACUAAAGUUAUAUUACAUUACAUUAAGCUAAAGCUAAGAUGAACAUCAUAAACCAAUGGUGUUUGAAGAUGUUCUUACCAGUAGUACGACCACUGGCGUAGAGAGACAAAACAGCUUGGAUAGCGACAUACAUAGCAGGUGUGUUGAACGUUUCAAACAUAAUCUGAGUCAUUUUCUCACGAUUAGCUUUAGGAUUGAGAGGAGCCUCAGUGAGAAGAACGGGAUGCUCUUCAGGUGCAACACGGAGCUCGUUGUAGAAAGUGUGAUGCCAAAUCUUCUCCAUGUCAUCCCAGUUGCUGACAAUACCAUGCUCAGUAGGAUACUUAAGAGUCAAGAUACCUCUCUUUGACUGAGCCUCGUCACCAACGUAAGCAUCUUUUUGUCCCAUACCAACCAUCACACCAGUGUGACGUGGUCUACCAACAAUGCUUGGGAACACAGCUCUUGGUGCAUCGUCUCCAGCGAAUCCAGCCUUUUAUAGAGGUUUGGACAUUACAUAUUAAAGAUUACAGACAGCAUUUUAUGAAACAAAUGAGUUAUAAAAAGUUGUCACACGUUUAUGAUUACCUUAACCAUUCCUGUUCCAUUGUCACAAACAAGGGGCUGAAUGUCCUCUCCAUCUGCCAUUUUCUAUUGAUUUCUGAAACUCUAUAUAUGUCAAUGAUUCAAAUUGUUAAUAGGAUUACAAACAAAACACAAUAACAUUCUUGAAAACAAUCGAAUGAACAAAAGAUCUCUGAUUCACUCACAUUGUUACAAAAUAUAAAAAAAGUGAGAAAAGUCUGGGAAUUCAUUUUUACCUGAUAGUUUGCGAGGAGAAGGAAAAUAGAACGAAGAGAAGAGUGAAUGAAGAAGGGAAUAUAGAGGAAGAGCCUCUCUGAGAAAAUAAGUUUUUUCUCAUGGUUGGUUGGAGAAGAUCUGAGCCGUCCAAUAUGGAAAAUGUGAACGAAGGAGGACCCCACGAGGAGUCAUGUUGACGGUGGAUACAGCUGUCUCAUAAAGAGUAACGACACUCCAUUUAAUUAUUUUAUUAAUCUUUCGAAAUUUGGUAACGUAACUGAAAGUAUCUACUCUGUAAAGUAUUAAAUGGGCUGGAAAAUGCUCCUUAAAGAGACAAAUCCAACCAAAAAUUAGUUAUCCUAUUAUAUAAAAGGAACUAAAUUCAAGGCUUUUGAGACUAUCCACCUCAGCCAAAAUAUUCUCAUCCAAACAGAAUUAGAAAUAGAUGUCAUUUAAAAGAUAAUUAACUAACAUACGACUUUUGAUAUUUCUAGAAAUUUCAAAUUUAUAACUGCUAAUUUAUUAAUAGAAUCAUAUAUCUAUAUUGAAUUAUAUUCUAUUUUUAAUCGUUAGACUUCAAGGGUAAAUAAAUUAUUAAUUUAUAAUAUAUAUAGUUUAUAACUUUAUAUUGUAGUUAUAAAUAAAGAGAAAAUAACCGGGAAGGGUGAAGAAGUUCAUGUAAAAUUAUGUAAUUAAAAUGGUAAAAUGGUGAGUAUGAUGAGGUGAAUCUAAGAAAAUUUGUUGUACAAAUUAUGGUGCUUUNNNNNNNNNNNNNNNNNNNNNNNNNNNNNNNNNNNNNNNNNNNNNNNNNNNNNNNNNNNNNNNNNNNNNNNNNNNNNNNNNNNNNNNNNNNNNNNNNNNNNNNNNNNNNNNNNNNNNNNNNNNNNNNNNNNNNNNNNNNNNNNNNNNNNNNNNNNNNNNNNNNNNNNNNNNNNNNNNNNNNNNNNNNNNNNNNNNNNNNNNNNNNNNNNNNNNNNNNNNNNNNNNNNNNNNNNNNNNNNNNNNNNNNNNNNNNNNNNNNNNNNNNNNNNNNNNNNNNNNNNNNNNNNNNNNNNNNNNNNNNNNNNNNNNNNNNNNNNNNNNNNNNNNNNNNNNNNNNNNNNNNNNNNNNNNNNNNNNNNNNNNNNNNNNNNNNNNNNNNNNNNNNNNNNNNNNNNNNNNNNNNNNNNNNNNNNNNNNNNNNNNNNNNNNNNNNNNNNNNNNNNNNNNNNNNNNNNNNNNNNNNNNNNNNNNNNNNNNNNNNNNNNNNNNNNNNNNNNNNNNNNNNNNNNNNNNNNNNNNNNNNNNNNNNNNNNNNNNNNNNNNNNNNNNNNNNNNNNNNNNNNNNNNNNNNNNNNNNNNNNNNNNNNNNNNNNNNNNNNNNNNNNAUCGCAUUUUUCUUGAAUGUGUUUCUUAAAUUCAUAAAAUGAUGCAGUGUACAGAAAAGCAGAAGAUAUGAACUACCACUCCGUUUGCUUGCAUGUCAUAUCAGAUUCCAUCCGCAGGUGUGAUAUUCUCUUUGGCUUUCUUUAUCUCAAGCAGAGUCGCAGAGAGCUAGCUAGAAAAAUGUUUCUCUUUGCAUGAAACUUGUAUACAUCCCACAUGACAUAUUCGUUGCUUCUGUCUUUUCAGUGCAGGUCUGAUACUGGCAUCCUGGCUCCUCUCUCUCGGGUAAUGCUCGCUUCCUUUAAAAGGAACAAAAUGAAUAAAAAUGUCUUAGUACCUGACCUCUUACAUUUUCCAUUUUUCUCCUCCGGUCUUUGGAUUUUUCAGGGUUGAAAAUGCAGAGGUCCUAUGUUUGGGAUUGGUAUCAGUUACAGUGUUUAUGCUUGUUAUGCCACUCUUCAAAGCCACUGGUGGUGUCUUGCUUCAGAUGGCACCUCCAAACAUUCCUUCUUCCGCAUUAAGCAAAUGCUUGCGUCAGGUUCGCUCUUUUCCAUAAAAUGUUUCCUGAACGUGUACAUAUUUCCUAUAUAUAGAGAGAUCGAUCAACCUGGGUUUCUCUUCAACUAUCUUUAUUUACAGAUUACUUCUCGAGAGGACGUCAUAGAGGUUUUACAGGCACGUUUCUGGGAGGUUGUGCCCGGCCACACUGUUGGCUCACUCAGAAUCCAGGUACUAGCUUCCUUACUGUUUUCAUAUCGGUUUAAACACGAAUCCAUAAUUAGAAUUGUACUGAUUUUGAGCUCUGGUUAUUUGGGUAUAGGUGAAGAGCGGGAUAGAUGAAAGGCCUUUACUGCAAUAUGUGUAUGAUGUAUACCAUGAUUUGGGUGUACAAGACUUGACGCUGCAAACAGAUUACAGCUGAGCUGCAUCUACUUCUAUGUUUUCAAAUACUGAGGACUUUGGAUGUAUACUAGUAGAGAUUAUGGUUCUAUAAGAAGAUUAACACUUGGUUUCAAGCUUGCGAGUUUCUUGUUACACUUGUUUAGUUUUUUCUUUUCUCUUUUAAUUCCUUUUCCCAUUUGUCUUUUGAACCACACACACAAGGACCACAAUCUUUGUAAACUCUUUUAGCAUUUCAAGUUUGUGCGUCUUUUGGCUCAAAUUCUCCUUUUUAAUCUUUUUUCAUGUCAAAAAUCAUCUGCAAAAUGUAAAAUCAAAACGGUAGCACGUAAAAUUGUCAGCUGAAACGAGAUUUUAUUGUUCUUCUUGUUUACACAAAAAAACAAAACUAAGUGGAGGAAUCAAAGAUCAUAUUGUGCUCCUCAACCUACACAACCUAAUAUUCUGUAAGUUAUGGGGACAGUACAAGCAUCUUAAAAAGCAAAUUCAUCCGUCCAUGUCUUAUAUUAUUCUUUGCUUACCCCCGUUUGCUUCGUUGGUCAUUGUAAAUUUAACAAAGUUUACUAAACGAUACAAAAGUUGGUAAACAUAUUAAAAAAUGAUACAAAAUUUAACAUAGUUAACCAUUUAUAUUGGUAAACAUAUUAAAAAACGAAGCAAACGGGGGUAUGAAUAAAGUCGACAAAGGAAAUUUUAUUAAUGGAACUUGAAAAGAUAUUUUGGAUUUAACUGAACUACAAAAACACUAGAUAUAUAUAUAUGAAAAGUGUCUCAAUUAUUUCCCGUAACGAGUCAACAAUUUCAAAGUAUACAAUACCACAUAUGAUAUGAUCCAUUAUAUAAUCCAUGAUUGCAGUUUGUGGACUCUAAGCUAGAAAAAUGUAUAUAAUAAUAUGGUAUAUCAUAUUUUAAUUAAGGCACUACUUGUGGUCUGCUUUAUUGUUAACUACAACCGGUGUCGUGCGAAGGGUUUUAGGGGCCUAAGGCAAGUUUUAAAACCACGUGUAGGGAUCUGCACCUUUCACGCGUCACGCGGCGUCACCGCCUCAACUUGACCGCUCCGCCAGAAAGCCGCCGGAAUAAACACCAUCGUCAUCCUCGUUCGUCGGAGCUCAGAAACCGGUAAGCCUCCAACGAACCCAUAGCCUCUCUUCACCGCCAUGUCAUCACGCCUGAGGGAUCCAUCGAAUCUCGAGAUCUCCUCCGACUUUACAUACUUCAAACCCUAGACACGCGAACGAGGAACCCUCUCUUUCUUUCCUUGAGAGUCGUCACCUCGCCGGAGAGCUUCAUCUUCUACCAGGUUCUCAACCACAGUGACCCAACCUCACCUUUGACGACAACCACACCAGACUUGAUACAAAUCGAACCUAAAAAACCUUUACCCAAAGAAACCCGGGUUCCUAAGCGGCAGCGCGGAGCUUUGCUAGCCUCCGCUCUCCGUAACCAGAAGCCGGCGAAGGCGAAUCUAACGGAGACUCCCUUCCCGGAAGCUAGAGCCGGCGACGGUGGAUCUGCGGAAGCCUCCACCUCCCGGAAAAACACCACCUCUGAAUAUGUAAACCGCUCUCUCUCUCCACCGAGGACCUCCCAACAAACGCGUCGUUACUCCAACAGCGUCCCACCGUUAAAGAAGGAGCCGGUAUCAGAGCUCGGACAAAGCGAACGUUACCAGGACGGCGAAGAAAGGACGAAAGGGAACCACUCUGACUAACUAAAAAGGACUCCGGCGCCGGCACGGACGCUCACGCGCCGACCGACCGCCGGAACCCAAAGCAGAUCUAACUUCUCUCUCUGUUCUCUCUCUCUAAAGGAUAAAUAUAGGGCUUAGUUACUUGAAUGUGAUAUGUUAACCCUACUAAUUUUAAUAAAGUUUAUUUAUCAAGAGUAUUAUACUGUAUUUUUGUUGUUACGUAACAAGGAGGCGAGAGCCAAUCAAGCCCAAUAAGGCGUUUAAUGCAGUCAACGCUUCUUGACUUGAGGCUCUUACAUGGGCUUAGAGUAGUGGCCCAUUAAGGUGAUUCUAGUAGACGCAGUGUACUUUUAAGACUCGUUGAAUUACACAUUUGAGGAGCAAAGAGAAAGCUAAGUAUGGAGAGAUCCGUUUCCUUCGAUCUUCGCGGCGAUAACGAACUCCCGAAUGAUCGGAGCAGCGACGUCGGAUACGCCGCCAAUGAUCGGAGGCUUGCUUACUCCCGCUCCUUUCACCACUCCCACGGCCCGCGAACGCCCGCAGCUAAGCCUUUUCUCGAUAGGACGGUCUCCACCAUCGAUAUGCCGCCGGAGAUAUACUCUGUCGACGGGGAUGAUGUUUUCUUCGGGGAAGGGAAAGCGGCGGCGGCGAUUGGGAAGGUGUCGGUUUUGCGUAUGGUUUUGGUGGUUUUUGGGGUGCUGAGAAAUGGAAAUCGGCAGAUGAAGAGAUUGUUUCUGUUGAUUUCGCUUAACGUGGCGUACUCUACCACAGAGCUGUUGAUUGGGCUAUUGACUGGGCGUGUAGGUACGAUUUGGUUGUUGCUUGGUUUUAGUUCUUGAUAACUUUGUUAGAGGGAGAGAGUUGGAUUUGUUGGAGAAAUAAGACUCCUGGUCGAUGUGAGCUUCACAUCCUUACUUCGGGUAGUGACUAGAGAUUUAGAUGAAACAAAACAGCUAAAGUUGAUUUUUUUUUUGGUUAAUGUAAUCUUUUAAAAUGUGGAACUAAACCGCACGGAUAGUAGAUCCUAUGCGUAUGUAGAGACCUUUUGGUUAUGGAGUUUUAAUUUUUAAGAUAUUGUCUUCUGUUGCAGCUGAGGUUUUGUAAAUAUCAAAAUUGGUUUGAGAUUUUGUUUAGAUUCCCAUGUUUACUGUUGUUGUUUACUUGCUCUCUUUUUUGACGUUUGAUGUUUGAUGUGACUCUUGCAGGUUUGGUUUCUGAUGCAUUCCAUUUGACAUUUGGAUGUGGUCUCCUGACGUUUUCUUUAUUUGCAAUGGCGACUUCAAGGAAGAAGCCUGAUCAUGCUUACUCAUACGGGUGAGAAAAUUUUCAAAUUUGAUCCGAUUAGUUGGUGCUUGUAUUUGCUGGAGAUAUAUGUUUGGAAUGCAUGGUUUGUGGUACUUUACGGUUGAUUUCACACUUUCUUUUCUUUCUCUGGAACAUUCCUAAAGUAGAUCCGCUGUUGUUUUCAUAGGAUCCAGUUUUUAUAAUUACUAAAUAUGAAACCUUUUCUGUUUGCUUCUUUGCUGCUGAUACUGACAUUGCAUGAUGGUGAAUCAGUUGUGACUUAGUAAUCGUUGGCUUUUCUUCCAGGUACAAAAGACUUGAAGUUCUUUCUGCUUUCACUAAUGCUGUAAGUAUGUUCUUAAAGUUUGUUGGAUGUCAUUUCCGGUUUUAAUUUGAGGGUCUAAUGGCUGAUGUCCCAUGCAAUAAAACUGGCUUAAUAUCUUUCAGAAAAUAGUGUCGAUAGCUAAGCUCAGUGUUUGCACACUUUCCUUUACUGUUGUUGAUAGAAUAGAAUAGUCUUACAGCUCGUUUAAAAUGUUGAUUAUCUUUUCAUUUUGCCUUCACUUUCUUAUUCAUUUUAUCUUUUGGGUUAACACAUUGAUAUGUUCAGUAUUGACAUAUGUGUAGACAGCUGUUUCUUAUGUUCAUGUCGUUCUCCUUAGCUGUGGAAGCUCUUCAUGCAUUUGUUCAAGAUGAAUCAGAGCACAAGUAAGUUUCUUUCCACAAGUGACAUGCCUAAGAGCUUGUAGUUAUUUCUCUAGCACUUACUAAGUUUACACUAAGUUCUUUGCAUUAAUAUGAUGUAUUGAAAUCGACUUCAUGCAGGCAUUAUCUUAUCGUAUCAGCGGUAACAAAUCUGCUGGUGAACCUACUUGGUGUUUGGUUCUUCCGGAAUUAUGCUCGUAUGAAUAUUGGUAUGUAUUCUCUGUUUUAUAAUUAUGCUUAAGUUCUGGUUAGACUUGAAUGAACUAAUACCGAUACUGGUGCUUUAUAUGGUAUAGCCUUGUUUGGCGGCUUUGCUAUAUUUCAUUUGUAAAAACUGGCCACCCCUGUCAAUGCAAAACCACAAAGAAGCAAGGGUUUCUGGUUAAGAUAGAAUCAGUAGGAAGAUUGGUUAAAAUAGAGAGACAGCAUGAUAGCAACUGAUCUGGCCAAGAAUUGUUCCCUUCGUACAUAUCGCAUUUUUCUUGAAUGUGUUUCUUAAAUUCAUAAAAUGAUGCAGUGUACAGAAAAGCAGAAGAUAUGAACUACCACUCCGUUUGCUUGCAUGUCAUAUCAGAUUCCAUCCGCAGGUGUGAUAUUCUCUUUGGCUUUCUUUAUCUCAAGCAGAGUCGCAGAGAGCUAGCUAGAAAAAUGUUUCUCUUUGCAUGAAACUUGUAUACAUCCCACAUGACAUAUUCGUUGCUUCUGUCUUUUCAGUGCAGGUCUGAUACUGGCAUCCUGGCUCCUCUCUCUCGGGUAAUGCUCGCUUCCUUUAAAAGGAACAAAAUGAAUAAAAAUGUCUUAGUACCUGACCUCUUACAUUUUCCAUUUUUCUCCUCCGGUCUUUGGAUUUUUCAGGGUUGAAAAUGCAGAGGUCCUAUGUUUGGGAUUGGUAUCAGUUACAGUGUUUAUGCUUGUUAUGCCACUCUUCAAAGCCACUGGUGGUGUCUUGCUUCAGAUGGCACCUCCAAACAUUCCUUCUUCCGCAUUAAGUAAAUGCUUGCGUCAGGUUCGCUCUGUUCCAUAAAGUGUUUCCUGAACGUGUACAUAUAGAUCGAUCAACCUGGGUUUCUCUUCAACUAUCUUUAUUUACAGAUUACUUCUCGAGAGGAUGUCAUAGAGGUUUUACAGGCACGUUUCUGGGAGGUUGUGCCCGGUCACACUGUUGGCUCACUCAGAAUCCAGGUACUAGCUUCCUUACUGUUUUCAUAUCGGUUAAAACACGAAUCCAUAAUAAGAAUUGUACUGAUUUUGAGCUGGUUAUUUGUGUUUAGGUGAAGAGCGGGAUAGAUGAAAGGCCUUUACUGCAAUAUGUGUAUGAUGUAUACCAUGAUUUGGGUGUACAAGACUUGACGCUGCAAACAGACUACAGCUGAGCUGCAUCUACUUCUAUGUUUUCAAAUACUGAGGACUUUGGAUGUAUACUAGUAGAGAUUAUGGUUCUAUAAGAAGAUAGCACUUGGUUUCAAGCUUGCGAGUUUCUUGUUACAUUUGUUUAGUUUUAUUUUUUUUAAUUCCUUUUCCCAUUCGUCUUUUGAACCACACACACAAGGACCACAAUCUUUGUAAACUCUUUUAGUCUUUCAAGUUUGUGCGUCUUUUUGGCUCAAAUUCUCCUUUUUAAUCCUUUUUCAUGUAAAAAAAUCAUCUGCAAAAUGUAAAAUCAAAACGGUAGCACGUAAAAUUGUCAGCUGAAACAAGAUUUUAUUGUUCUUCUUGUUUACACAGAAAAAACUAAGUGGAGGAAUCAAAGAUCAUAUUGUGCUCCUCAACCUACACAGCCUAAUAUUCUGCAAGUUAUGGGGACAGUACAAGCAUCUUAAAAAGCAAAUUCAUCCGUCCAUGUCUAUGUUAUUCUUUGCUUACCCCCGUUUGCUUCGUUGAUCAUUGUAAAUUUAACAUAGUUUACUAAACGAUACAAAAAUUUGUAAACAUAAAAAAAAUGAUACAAAAAUUUAAUAUAGUUUACUAAUUGACUACGUGCACAUGACAAAGGAAUUUUUAUUAAUGGAACUUGAAAAUAUAUUUUGGAUUUAACUGAACUACAAAAACGCAAGAUAUAUAUGAAAAGUAUCUCAAUUAUUUCCCGUAACGAGUCAACAAUUUCAAAGUAUACAAUACCCACAUAUGAUACGAUCCAUUAUAUAAUCCAUGAUUGCGUUUUUUGGACUCUAAGCUAGAAAAAUGUAUAUUAAUAAUAUGGUAUAUCAUAUUUAAUUAAGGCACUACUUGUGUGGUCUGCUUUAUUGUUAGUUAAACGUAUAAAAUAGAAUAAUAAACAAGAACCAAUUGUCCAAAAAGACACUUUUAUUUGAAAAAAUACUAUUUUUAAUGUUAUUGUUUGGAUGAUUCAAAUCAAGAGACGACCAGAGAAUAUGAGCAUGAAUCAUCAAACCAUUAACUCUUAACCUUUCCCCUUAAAAAAAAUUCCCAGUUGAUAAGAUAGAAUCAAAAGCAGAAAAAAGGUAGAGUUAAACAAUAUAAUAACUAAAAAACAAAGAAGAUUGUAAGAUAAAGCUGAUGAAGUUCACAUUACAAGAAGAGAAUCUGCUUAUUACAAAAGAGAGAGAUAUAAGAGAAUACACUGCUAAGUCUCUGGUUUCUUCUUGAUAACACUUUCACUAUGUACAGAUUCAGCAACACAGUGAUUGGAGUCUUAAACCUCCUCAGCUUACUAGCUUCAAUACCAAUCAUAGGAGCCGCUCUAUGGAAGGCAAGAAGCAGCACAACUUGCGAAAACUUCCUCCAGACUCCUCUACUCGUUAUAGGUUUCAUCAUACUCUUAGUAUCUCUCGCCGGAUUCAUAGGAGCCUGUUUCAACGUGGCAUGGGCUCUUUGGGUUUACUUAGUGGUCAUGAUCUUCCUCAUCGCGACUCUUAUGGGUCUAACUCUGUUUGGUCUGGUGGUGACGAGCCAAGGAGGCGGUGUGGAAGUACCAGGGAGGGUUUAUAAAGAGUAUAGGCUUGGUGAUUAUCAUCCAUGGUUGAGAGAGAGAGUUAGAGAUCCUCAGUAUUGGAUCUCUAUAAGAAGCUGUAUCUUGAGUUCCAAGACUUGUGCUAAGAUUGAAUCUUGGACUACACUUGAUUAUUUCCAAAGAGACAUGACUUCUGUUCAGGUAUCAUCCUCAGUGCCUAGAGCCAUGUUAAAAAAAAAUUAACCGUAGAUUUUUAUAUAUGUCUAAAGUUUUUAUUGAUUUAUAAGUAUUAAUAACUCCAGUUAUAUAUGUUUUUUUUUUUGAAAUUAUAAGUAUUAAUUUAUAAAUAUAUUUGAAAAUUUAAAUUUUACUCCAAUUUAUAUAUAUUUUAAAAAAAAUCAAACCAUUUUCAAUCUUUCCAUUUACACAUGCUAAAAGACUGCCAUGAUCCUCAUUUAUAUUUUCUCAUAUUCAUUGCCCUAUCGUAUAAGCUAGCAUCUUCAUCAACUUUGUAUGCGUGUGUUUGAUUUAUAGUCGGGAUGUUGUAAGCCACCAACGGCGUGCGCGUACGAGACCGGAGUAAUAGUAGGAGGAGAAGAUUGCUAUAGAUGGAACAAUGGUAUUGAAACGUUAUGCUACGAGUGUGAUGCUUGUAAAGCUGGUGUUCUUGAAGAGAUCCGUCUUGACUGGAGAAAGUUAUCGGUUGUCAACAUUCUAGUCCUAGUCCUCCUCAUCACAGUCUACGCUGCAGGUUGCUGCGCUUUCCAUAACACUCACCACGCUGCUCAUCCUUAUCACCCAUCUGAUGAUAACCGCAUGACCAAAGUCCGUCCUCGUUGGGACUAUUACUGGUACGUAUACUACAUUGACUUGAUGAUCUCAGAAUGCAAGAUUUGGCACAAAAUUAUAUUAAAAUUCAUUUUUUAAAAUAAUUUUUUAUAUAUUUUUUAUAUUAUAUAAAAUUAUAUAAAAGUUCACUAAUGUUUCUAGCAAUUUUGUGUUUACAGGUGGAGAUGGUGGCAUGAAAAGAAAGAACAGCUUUACUGAGAGCCUCGUAGUAAUUUGUUUUUCUUCUUCUUUUCAUCAUUUUUUUCUAUUUACCAACUUGAGAUUAAGAAAACACAAAGAUAAGAAGUGUUGAUGUACUUCUGUUUUUUUUUUAAAUCAUCAAAGAAACAUACAUGGAAGAUGAAUAUAGACUAUGAAAUAUGCUUUUCAUAUAUCUAAAACAUCUUUGAUGAUCUCACGAGUAAACAAAAGAAAAAAAAAAUUUAGUGUAAAUACUAUACCCAGCAACUUGAUUGUGAAUCAUCCAGUCAUCAACAAUGAAAUAGUUGAUUUAUUAUAUUCAUGCGUGAGUUGCAAGGAAAGGUACUACCUGGCUACCUGCUCACCAUUGUUUCACUAAAAAUGUAUAAACGAUUUGACGCUUGUAAGAAACAAAGAUGUGCAAUACAUGUCUGAGACGCGCACAAGCAAAGAUCAAAACAGAAGAUCUGAGUUUUCCCUUUAUAUUACCAACAAAGUUACGGACCCGCUUAGCUGCUCUUGUGUCACUGAGCAAGUGGAUUUCUUGAAUAAGAGAAACUAGUCCAACAGGCUAAUUCAAAAUAGAUUAUACUCAACCACCUGAUAAAAAGAAGCAGUCAUCUAAAAACUUGCGAGGAUGAGUAAUGAUUAGCUCACAUGGAAGCUAACCAUUCAGCAGUUGACUGGUACAAAGGGAUUUGGUUUCCUUAUCACACCCCGAAUACUCCUUCACAGUAUGGAUGACUAUCCAAAAAAGAGUCCCAAGAGGCCAUAGGAUAUGAACCCAUUGAGGUCUGUUGUCAAAGUUGUUGAUAAGAAGGGCCUAAAGGUAGAAUUUUUUUUCUUUUUUUUUGUCAAAUGUUUCUUUCCUUUAGAAAGGCCCAAUGAACAUUACAAGAGAAGCAACAGGCUUGAAACUCAUCAUACAACUCGACAUAAAAUAAAUUUUAUUAGGCCUAAUAGUGCAUGUGUCUUCAUCACGGGAAAGACGUGACACGCGCCCUCAUCCUCCUUUGCAUGAGUCUUUAAACUUCUGGAUCUGACAUGCAUCUGUCGCACCAACGCAUGGGAUGAGAGGAAGUCGGUACACCUCGCCGGCGGCAGAGACUGCUCAUGGUCACCGAACAAGCUUUGAACUUCUCGAUCUGCUAUCUUUCAUCCGGCUGUCGCUUCAAUGAGAGCCACCAUCAACUUCAUUGGGUAAUAACUCUGGGAUUACUCAAUAAAAUUAAAGAUCUUUAUCGGACCAUCUCCGAGAGGAUGCCGAUUCAUCUAAAUCUUCAUCGAGAUUACUCUAACAUCACCUCCACCUAAGAGCCUAUUCAUCGGCUUCAUCUUUUAAAGAGUGAAAAUUGACUCCCUUAAGAAAAGAGUACAUGCGAAUCCAAUAGAGAAGAAGAAAACUCCAUUAAAGCGAACGGGAUUUAAAGAGCAACUGUGAAAGAGGAGACGGGAUGAGUCAGUUCUACUAGUUAGAACCUUGAGGGCCAAUUGUCAUGCUUGCGGGUUCGACGCCAGCCGGAGCCGAACUGCUCAUCCAUGUCACGAAGCGGGUACUGGACCUUCGGGCUCAGGACAUACCCUCCCGGGUGAAGCCGACCCGCUGCCUGACCGGACCCAGGGAAUGACCCGCGAAACUGGGAACCCUGGAUUACCAAAAAAAAAAAAAACUGUGAAAGAGGAGAAGCAUACAUAAAAGAUCAAUCUCAAUCGAAGAAUAACAGAACACAAUCAUGAAGUUUUGCUUCAAUUAAGAUUGAAUACACAACAAAAAUUUGCCACGGUUUAUCGGCACCGCGAAUAACAUAAUCAUAACAUAAUCGCCACUGCGAAGAGAAGAAAUAUAAUACAAAGCAAAAACAAAAACAAAAAGAUUAUGGUGACCGGCUGUAAAGAGCCCACUGGCCACAUGAGCAAAUCUAUUUGGUCGGAAGCUUUUUUAGAAAGAAGUUAGAGAAAAUACUAGAGAGAGGCUUUUUUGGUAGAAUGAAAAUUAUUAUAUUACAAAACUUGGUGAAUAAGAAGAAUUCUUCAUUUGCUUCUUCUCCCCAUGCUUAUUACGCAUAAAGUUGGUGUUACAAGUCCAAAGCACUAAGAUUAAGAACAAAUAUUUAUUUAUGGUACUUAAUCCAGACUAGAUUAUACCUUUUCAUUUUUUUACUAAAUAUAUAAGAAAAUAUAUGGAAACAAAAAAACAUGGAAUCGUAAUUCACACGAGCAUGAACAAAAACAAAACCAUUUCUCUCUCCUUAUUGAACAGUAACAUUAUUAAAAUGAUUAGAAAGAAAUAAAGAAAUACCCAAUUGAUUACUUUAUCUUAUUAUCUCCAGUUUGGUUUUCACGAUUCUGGUUAGUUAACUAUUUUAUGUUUCCACCUCCGAACAUUUGAAUUGUUCGAUACCACCUAAUUUACACUUAAACCAUCUCUUAAAUUUUAACUAAAAAAGUUAAGAACAUGCUCUUAAAUAAGAUAUUAAAGAACCGGUUCUUAGCUUUUUUUAGUUAUAAAUUAAGAGUUAGUUUCUUAUAUUCCGCUAAGAACCUCAUCCUAAGAACCCUCCAUUAAUCUUGCUCUUAAACUCUCUUGUCAUUUUCUUGUUGUCUAUUCCACUUUUAGACUAUUCCUUAUUUCGUUCAGGUUCACAUGUUAUUUUCAGUAAUAAUAUAGUUUGUACCCAGAUUCAAUUUUUUAGUUAUGGUGUGCCAAGACAAUUAUGCGGAUGAUUAAUUCGUAGAAAUAUAAUAUCACUUGACGACAAUAUUUUCGCAAAUUCAAAUUCAGGUAAAUCAUUAAAUAAAAAUAAAAAUAAUUAGCUUCAUGUUAUAAAUCAAUUAGUGGAUGUCCAUAACCGACCCGGUCCAUAACCGGUCCAUACAACUAGAGAGAGAGUUGGCCACGACUUGGAGAGAGAGUGAGAGAGAGUCGGCCAUGACAUGAAGAGAGAGAGAGGGAGGCGGCUUGGAGAAAAGGAAACCAUCUUUCCUUUUCCUUGUAAUUGUUAUCUUUCCAUUAUUAUAUAUUAGUAGUUUUCCUAAUCCUAGUGGGUUUAGGUUUUGGAUACUUUCCUUUUUACUUAUCUUGUAAUCCCCUAUGUAAAGGAACACUUAUUCAUUAAUGAAACAUAGAAAUAUUCAUACCUAAAACCUUCGUUUUACAAUACGUUAUCAACACGAUUGUUCUCUGCAAUCUAAGCUAAAAUCGCCAACCCCUUAAACCCUAACCUAGCCGGCG